Molecule: transfer RNA, 77 nt
Filed under: Candidatus Omnitrophota bacterium
Lineage: Bacteria; Pseudomonadati; Candidatus Omnitrophota
Description: Candidatus Omnitrophica bacterium tRNA-Pro
Rfam family: tRNA
About the family: Transfer RNA (tRNA) molecules are approximately 80 nucleotides in length.
Source: RNAcentral
CGGAGCGUAGCGCAGUUGGCUAGCGCACUUGUAUGGGGUACAAGAGGUCGUGAGUUCAAGCCUCACCGCUCCGACCA